GAUGAACGUUAGCGGCAGGCCUAACACAUGCAAGUCGAGGGGCAGCACGAUUGAGCUUGCUUAAUUGGUGGCGACCGGCGCACGGGUGCGUAACGCGUAUGCAACCUACCUUAUACUGGGGUAUAGCCCGAAGAAAUUCGGAUUAAUCCCCCAUAGCAUUAUCGAUUCGCAUGUUUUGAUAAUUAAAGGUUACGGUAUAA
RNAcentral lists this ribosomal RNA (200 nucleotides) under uncultured bacterium. Its description in RNAcentral is "partial 16S ribosomal RNA". It matches the Rfam family "Bacterial small subunit ribosomal RNA", at positions 28 to 223 of the family's 1533-position model. The record is from RNAcentral.